CCCGCUGAACUUAAGCAUAUCAAUAAGCGGAGGAAAAGAAACUAACAAGGAUUCCCCUAGUAACUGCGAGUGAAGCGGGAAGAGCUCAAAUUUGAAAUCUGGCGGUCCCUUGGGCUGUCCGAGUUGUAAUCUAGAGAAGUGCUACCUGUGCUGGACCGUGUACAAGUCUCCUGGAAUGGAGCAUCACAGAGGGUGAGAAUCCCGUCUUUGACACGGACUGCCAUGUGCGAUAUGGUGCGCUCUCGAAGAGUCGAGUUGUUUGGGAAUGCAGCUCAAAACGGGUGGUAAAUGCCAUCUAAAGCUAAAUAUUGGCGAGAGACCGAUAGCGAACAAGUACCGUGAGGGAAAGAUGAAAAGAACUUUGGAAAGAGAGUUAAACAGUACGUGAAAUUGUUGAAAGGGAAACGUUUGAAGUCAGUCGCGUCGGCCGAGACUCAACCUUGCUCUUCGCUCGGUGCACUUCUUGGUCGACGGGUCAGCAUCAAUUUCGACCGCCGGACAAAGGUCAGGGGAAUGUGGCAUCCUUCGGGAUGUGUUAUAGCCCUUGAUUCGCAUACGGCGAUUGGGAUUGAGGAACUCGGCGCUUCACGCGUCCAGGAUGCUGGCAUAAUGGCUUUAAGCGACCCGUCUUGAAACACGG
Molecule: ribosomal RNA, 640 nt
Filed under: uncultured fungus
Lineage: Eukaryota; Fungi
Description: eukaryotic LSU rRNA
Rfam family: Eukaryotic large subunit ribosomal RNA
Source: RNAcentral